RNAcentral lists this ribosomal RNA (253 nucleotides) under uncultured bacterium. Its description in RNAcentral is "partial 16S ribosomal RNA". It matches the Rfam family "Bacterial small subunit ribosomal RNA", at positions 524 to 776 of the family's 1533-position model. The record is from RNAcentral.
UAAGGAGGGGGCAUGCGUCGUUCGGAAGUACUGGGCGUAAAGGGCGCGUAGGCGGCGUCGUAAGUCAGGCGUGAAAGGCCAGGGUUCAACGCGGGAACUCCGCUUGAAACUGCGGCGCUCGAGUCCGGGAGAGGAUGGCGGAAUUCCCAGUGUAGAGGUGAAAUUCGUAGAUAUUGGGAAGAACGCCGGUGGCGAAGGCGGCCAUCUGGACCGGUAUUGACGAUAAUGCGCGAAAGCGUGGGGAGCAAACAGG